Molecule: non-coding RNA, 72 nt
Organism: Phrynosoma platyrhinos (Desert horned lizard)
Lineage: Eukaryota; Metazoa; Chordata; Lepidosauria; Squamata; Phrynosomatidae
Source: the annotation of a GenBank genome assembly
GCCAGUGUGGUGUAGUGGCUUCAGCAUUGGACUGUGACUCUGGAGACCAGGGUUUGAAUCCCAGCUCAGCUA